GUGGGGAAUAUUGGACAAUGGGGGGAACCCUGAUCCAGCCAUGCCGCGUGUGUGAAGAAGGCCUUUUGGUUGUAAAGCACUUUAAGCGAGGAGGAGGCUACCGAGAUUAAUACUCUUGGAUAGUGGACGUUACUCGCAGAAUACGCACCGGCUAACUCUGUGCCAGCAGCCGCGGUAAUACAGAGGGUGCAAGCGUUAAUCGGAUUUACUGGGCGUAAAGCGCGCGUAGGUGGCCAAUUAAGUCAAAUGUGAAAUCCCCGAGCUUAACUUGGGAAUUGCAUUCGAUACUGGUUGGCUAGAGUAUGGGAGAGGAUGGUAGAAUUCCAGGUGUAGCGGUGAAAUGCGUAGAGAUCUGGAGGAAUACCGAUGGCGAAGGCAGCCAUCUGGCCUAAUACUGACACUGAGGUGCGAAAGCAUGGGGAGCAAACAGGAUUAGAUACCCGGGUAGUCC
This 451-nucleotide ribosomal RNA is filed under the name uncultured bacterium. RNAcentral's name for it is "partial 16S ribosomal RNA". It matches the Rfam family "Bacterial small subunit ribosomal RNA", at positions 354 to 796 of the family's 1533-position model. The record is from RNAcentral.